UACGGAGGGAGCUAGCGUUGUUCGGAAUUACUGGGCGUAAAGCGCACGUAGGCGGCUUCUUAAGUCAGGGGUGAAAUCCCGGAGCUCAACUCCGGAACUGCCCUUGAAACUGGGAAGCUAGAAUCUUGGAGAGGCGAGUGGAAUUCCGAGUGUAGAGGUGAAAUUCGUAGAUAUUCGGAAGAACACCAGUGGCGAAGGCGACUCGCUGGACAAGUAUUGACGCUGAGGUGCGAAAGCGUGGGGAGCAAACAGG
This 253-nucleotide ribosomal RNA is filed under the name uncultured bacterium. Its description in RNAcentral is "partial 16S ribosomal RNA". It matches the Rfam family "Bacterial small subunit ribosomal RNA", at positions 524 to 776 of the family's 1533-position model. The record is from RNAcentral.